UGGUGGCGACCGGCGCACGGGUGAGUAACGCGUAUGCAACCUACCUAUCAGAGGGGAAUAACCCGGCGAAAGUCGGACUAAUACCGCAUAAAACAGGGACACCGCAUGGUGAUAUUUGUUAAAGAAAUUCGCUGAUAGAUGGGCAUGCGUUCCAUUAGGUAGUUGGUGAGGUAACGGCUCACCAAGCCGACGAUGGAUAGGGGAACUGAGAGGUUGGUCCCCCACACUGGUACUGAGACACGGGCCAGACUCCUACGGGAGGCAGCAGUGAGGAAUAUUGGUCAAUGGGCGAGAGCCUGAACCAGCCAAGUCGCGUGAAGGAAGAAGGAUCUAUGGUUCGUAAACUUCUUUUGCAGGGGAAUAAAGUGCAGGACGUGUCCUGUUUUGUAUGUACCCUGAGAAUAAGGAUCGGCUAACUCCGUGCCAGCAGCCGCGGUAAUACGGAGGAUCCGAGCGUUAUCCGGAUUUAUUGGGUUUAAAGGGUGCGUAGGUGGUUUGAUAAGUCAGCGGUGAAAGUUUGCAGCUUAACUGUAAAAAUGCCGUUGAAACUGUCGGACUUGAGUGUAAAUGAGGUAGGCGGAAUGCGUGGUGUAGCGGUGAAAUGCUUAGAUAUCACGAAGAACUCCGAUUG
RNAcentral lists this ribosomal RNA (631 nucleotides) under uncultured Porphyromonadaceae bacterium. RNAcentral's name for it is "bacterial SSU rRNA". It matches the Rfam family "Bacterial small subunit ribosomal RNA", at positions 86 to 715 of the family's 1533-position model. Lineage: Bacteria; Pseudomonadati; Bacteroidota; Bacteroidia; Bacteroidales; Porphyromonadaceae. The record is from RNAcentral.